Molecule: unclassified non-coding RNA, 991 nt
Filed under: Hevea brasiliensis (rubber tree)
Lineage: Eukaryota; Viridiplantae; Streptophyta; Magnoliopsida; Malpighiales; Euphorbiaceae
Source: RNAcentral
UUAUUAGAGCACUAAAGAAAAGGGUUUUAUACGAAGUUAUGUGUGGAUAAGGUUGUUAGCUCAGAAUGACCUCUAGUGGUUAAUGGUGGCAUUGUGCUUUGUUGGGUCAAUGAACUUCCAAUCGUUGUGGAAUAUUUUUUUCCAAAUGAUAUAGUGAUACCCACUUUUGCUUUCUGGUUCACGUUUGGAGUGUUUUAGUAAAGCAACUUGCGAGCGAGUACCUCAUCAUCUUGUUAUGGUAUUUGAUCCUUGAUAAUGUAGGUAUCCUGUAUGGCAAUUUAAGUCAUUGGUUAUAUUGAAUUGACUCAGCAGUGGUGGUGACAGUGUUCAUAAUUCAGGUUCAGCGGAAAUAAUUGAAACGAAUCAACAUAAUUUGUUUUCGAAUCAACACAAUUUGAUUUUUUUAGUUCAUUUUGGUUUUUAGUUUUAGGAAUUUGAGUUAUUUUAGUUUGGUUUGGUUUUUAUAUUUCUUAUAAUUUUAUUUUCAAUUUCUCUGUAUGGAUGAGUUUAUAAACGCUCCUAGCGGUGACUGACUGGUGAGCAUCGGCUGGAACUGGGUGGUCCACACUUUGUGGGCCAGACUAGGUGUGCCCCGUAAAACAUGUGGGGCCGGUUCAAAAAAACAAAAAAGGAACACAAAGCGCAAUGAUUGAGCGAUUAUGUUCGGCCAUUUUGAGUCUUCCUGGCUUGGGGCGCUGAAGUGGCCAGCAUAGAAUGAGGUGAGGUGACUGAAUUUUCGCUCGAUUAAAGUUGCUGCUACUGCCUAAUUGUUUAUGUUGCUUUUCAGGAUGCACUAAGGACUAUGGACUCUUUAAUAACAAAAGCUUACAAUGUUUUAGUUGAAUAAUAAACAGAGAAUAAUCUUGUAGUAAGUUUCGUACUAUUUCUGAAGGGCAAGAAGAAGAGCCUGUAAUCAGACUGAUAGUGUUAAUCAUUGAAAGCAGAGUUUGAAUUUUUGAUAAUAAUAAUUGAAUACUUUGCAGACAAGCUA